RNAcentral lists this ribosomal RNA (552 nucleotides) under uncultured Methanosarcinaceae archaeon. RNAcentral describes it as "bacterial SSU rRNA". It matches the Rfam family "Archaeal small subunit ribosomal RNA", at positions 325 to 879 of the family's 1478-position model. The record is from RNAcentral. Lineage: Archaea; Methanobacteriati; Methanobacteriota; Methanomicrobia; Methanosarcinales; Methanosarcinaceae.
ACGGGGCGCAGCAGGCGCGAAAACUUCGCAAUGGGGGCAACCCCGACGAGGGGAUUCCAAGUGCCAGCACUUUGUGUUGGCUGUUUUCCUGUCUAAAAAACAGGAGGAGUAAGGGGCGGGUAAGACGGGUGCCAGCCGCCGCGGUAAUACCCGCGCCCCUAGUGGUGGUCGAUAUUAUUGAGCCUAAAACGUCCGUAGCCGGUCUUUUAAAUCCUUGGGUAAAUCGGGCAGCUUAACUGUCCGAAUUCCGAGGAGACUGGAAGACUUGGGACCGGGAGAGGUCAGAGGUACUUCUAGGGUAGGGGUAAAAUCCUGUAAUCCUGGAAGGACCACCGGUGGCGAAGGCGCCUGACUAGAACGGAUCCGACGGUGAGGGACGAAGCCCUGGGGCGCAAACGGGAUUAGAUACCCCGGUAGUCCAGGGUGUAAACGCUGCGGGCUUGGUGUUGGGGGUCCUUCGUGGGCGCUCAGUGCCGGAGAGAAGUUGUUAAGCCUGCUGCUUGGGGAGUAUGUCCGCAAGGAUGAAACUUAAAGGAAUUGGCGGGGGAGCAC